CGAGAAAACCGGCCUGUUGAUUCUCAUUUUUUUGAGGGUAGGAAAGUCCGGACACCACAGGGCAGCAAAGCGGAUAACAUCCGUCAUCCGCGAGGAUAGGACAAGUGCAACAGAAAGCAGGUACAGUUCGGCUGUAGUGAAACCAGGUAAACUCUUUGCGGUGCAAUGGUAAGUAUAUCGGUUCUUUUCAGAUACGAAAAUAGGGGCGGCCCGUCCUGAAAACCGAGGGGUAAUCAGCUCAAGUUGUGCAGCAAUGUACAACGCAGAUAAAUAACAGGCGUCCUGAUUUUUUGGGAUACAGAAUCCGGCUUACAGGUUUUCUCGUGAU
Non-coding RNA from Chryseobacterium sp. Leaf394, 328 nucleotides. It matches the Rfam family "Bacterial RNase P class A". Rfam says of the family: Ribonuclease P (RNase P) is a ubiquitous endoribonuclease, found in archaea, bacteria and eukarya as well as chloroplasts and mitochondria. The record is from Rfam. NCBI's taxonomy places the organism in Bacteria, Pseudomonadati, Bacteroidota, Flavobacteriia, Flavobacteriales, Weeksellaceae.